CCCUACGGGGGGCAGCAGUGGGGAAUAUUGCACAAUGGGCGCAAGCCUGAUGCAGCCAUGCCGCGUGUAUGAAGAAGGCCUUCGGGUUGUAAAGUACUUUCAGCGGGGAGGAAGGGAUUGUGGUUAAUAACCGCAGUCAUUGACGUUACCCGCAGAAGAAGCACCGGCUAACUCCGUGCCAGCAGCCGCGGUAAUACGGAGGGUGCAAGCGUUAAUCGGAAUUACUGGGCGUAAAGCGCACGCAGGCGGUCUGUCAAGUCGGAUGUGAAAUCCCCGGGCUCAACCUGGGAACUGCAUUCGAAACU
RNAcentral lists this ribosomal RNA (305 nucleotides) under uncultured bacterium. Its description in RNAcentral is "bacterial SSU rRNA". It matches the Rfam family "Bacterial small subunit ribosomal RNA", at positions 337 to 634 of the family's 1533-position model. The record is from RNAcentral.